Molecule: ribosomal RNA, 1439 nt
Filed under: Klebsiella pneumoniae
Lineage: Bacteria; Pseudomonadati; Pseudomonadota; Gammaproteobacteria; Enterobacterales; Enterobacteriaceae
Description: bacterial SSU rRNA
Rfam family: Bacterial small subunit ribosomal RNA
Source: RNAcentral
AGCAUGGGGCGGCUACACAUGCAGUCGAGCGGUAGCACAGAGAGCUUGCUCUCGGGUGACGAGCGGCGGACGGGUGAGUAAUGUCUGGGAAACUGCCUGAUGGAGGGGGAUAACUACUGGAAACGGUAGCUAAUACCGCAUAACGUCGCAAGACCAAAGUGGGGGACCUUCGGGCCUCAUGCCAUCAGAUGUGCCCAGAUGGGAUUAGCUAGUAGGUGGGGUAACGGCUCACCUAGGCGACGAUCCCUAGCUGGUCUGAGAGGAUGACCAGCCACACUGGAACUGAGACACGGUCCAGACUCCUACGGGAGGCAGCAGUGGGGAAUAUUGCACAAUGGGCGCAAGCCUGAUGCAGCCAUGCCGCGUGUGUGAAGAAGGCCUUCGGGUUGUAAAGCACUUUCAGCGGGGAGGAAGGCGUUAAGGUUAAUAACCUUGGCGAUUGACGUUACCCGCAGAAGAAGCACCGGCUAACUCCGUGCCAGCAGCCGCGGUAAUACGGAGGGUGCAAGCGUUAAUCGGAAUUACUGGGCGUAAAGCGCACGCAGGCGGUCUGUCAAGUCGGAUGUGAAAUCCCCGGGCUCAACCUGGGAACUGCAUUCGAAACUGGCAGGCUAGAGUCUUGUAGAGGGGGGUAGAAUUCCAGGUGUAGCGGUGAAAUGCGUAGAGAUCUGGAGGAAUACCGGUGGCGAAGGCGGCCCCCUGGACAAAGACUGACGCUCAGGUGCGAAAGCGUGGGGAGCAAACAGGAUUAGAUACCCUGGUAGUCCACGCCGUAAACGAUGUCGAUUUGGAGGUUGUGCCCUUGAGGCGUGGCUUCCGGAGCUAACGCGUUAAAUCGACCGCCUGGGGAGUACGGCCGCAAGGUUAAAACUCAAAUGAAUUGACGGGGGCCCGCACAAGCGGUGGAGCAUGUGGUUUAAUUCGAUGCAACGCGAAGAACCUUACCUGGUCUUGACAUCCACAGAACUUUCCAGAGAUGGAUUGGUGCCUUCGGGAACUGUGAGACAGGUGCUGCAUGGCUGUCGUCAGCUCGUGUUGUGAAAUGUUGGGUUAAGUCCCGCAACGAGCGCAACCCUUAUCCUUUGUUGCCAGCGGUUCGGCCGGGAACUCAAAGGAGACUGCCAGUGAUAAACUGGAGGAAGGUGGGGAUGACGUCAAGUCAUCAUGGCCCUUACGACCAGGGCUACACACGUGCUACAAUGGCAUAUACAAAGAGAAGCGACCUCGCGAGAGCAAGCGGACCUCAUAAAGUAUGUCGUAGUCCGGAUUGGAGUCUGCAACUCGACUCCAUGAAGUCGGAAUCGCUAGUAAUCGUAGAUCAGAAUGCUACGGUGAAUACGUUCCCGGGCCUUGUACACACCGCCCGUCACACCAUGGGAGUGGGUUGCAAAAGAAGUAGGUAGCUUAACCUUCGGGAGGGCGCUACCACUUGAUCCGGG